ACUAUCACUUAGCGGCGGACGGGUGAGUAAUGCUUAGGAAUCUGCCUAUUAGUGGGGGACAACAUCUCGAAAGGGAUGCUAAUACCGCAUACGUCCUACGGGAGAAAGCAGGGGAUCACUUGUGACCUUGCGCUAAUAGACGAGCCUAAGUCGGAUUAGCUAGUUGGUGGGGUAAAGGCCUACCAAGGCGACGAUCUGUAGCGGGUCUGAGAGGAUGAUCCGCCACACUGGGACUGAGACACGGCCCAGACUCCUACGGGAGGCAGCAGUGGGGAAUAUUGGACAAUGGGGGGAACCCUGAUCCAGCCAUGCCGCGUGUGUGAAGAAGGCCUUAUGGUUGUAAAGCACUUUAAGCGAGGAGGAGGCUCUUUUGGUUAAUACCCAAGAUGAGUGGACGUUACUCGCAGAAUAAGCACCGGCUAACUCUGUGCCAGCAGCCGCGGUAAUACAGAGGGUGCAAGCGUUAAUCGGAUUUACUGGGCGUAAAGCGCGCGUAGGCGGCCAAUUAAGUCAAAUGUGAAAUCCCCGAGCUUAACUUGGGAAUUGCAUUCGAUACUGGUUGGCUAGAGUGUGGGAGAGGAUGGUAGAAUUCCAGGUGUAGCGGUGAAAUGCGUAGAGAUCUGGAGGAAUACCGAUGGCGAAGGCAGCCAUCUGGCCUAACACUGACGCUGAGGUGCGAAAGCAUGGGGAGCAAACAGGAUUAGAUACCCUGGUAGUCCAUGCCGUAAACGAUGUCUACUAGCCGUUGGGGCCUUUGAGGCUUUAGUGGCGCAGCUAACGCGAU
RNAcentral lists this ribosomal RNA (784 nucleotides) under uncultured bacterium. RNAcentral's name for it is "bacterial SSU rRNA". It matches the Rfam family "Bacterial small subunit ribosomal RNA", at positions 84 to 861 of the family's 1533-position model. The record is from RNAcentral.